This 71-nucleotide transfer RNA is filed under the name Penicillium roqueforti FM164. RNAcentral describes it as "tRNA-His (GTG) (tRNA-His-GTG-2-1)". It matches the Rfam family "tRNA". Rfam says of the family: Transfer RNA (tRNA) molecules are approximately 80 nucleotides in length. Their secondary structure includes four short double-helical elements and three loops (D, anti-codon, and T loops). Further hydrogen bonds mediate the characteristic L-shaped molecular structure. tRNAs have two regions of fundamental functional importance: the anti-codon, which is responsible for specific mRNA codon recognition, and the 3' end, to which the tRNAs corresponding amino acid is attached (by aminoacyl-tRNA synthetases). tRNAs cope with the degeneracy of the genetic code in two manners: having more than one tRNA (with a specific anti-codon) for a particular amino acid; and 'wobble' base-pairing, i.e. permitting non-standard base-pairing at the 3rd anti-codon position. The record is from RNAcentral. Lineage: Eukaryota; Fungi; Ascomycota; Eurotiomycetes; Eurotiales; Aspergillaceae.
GGUGCCAUGGUCUAGUGGUAUGACGACACAUUGUGGCUGUGUUAGCCCCAGUUCGAUUCCGGGUGGCGCCA